CGGGGGGGCAAGCGUUGUUCGGAAUUACUGGGCGUAAAGGGCUCGUAGGCGGCCAACUAAGUCCGACGUGAAAUCCCCAGGCUUAACCUGGGAACUGCGUCGGAUACUGGAUGGCUUGAAUUCGGGAGAGGGAUGCAGAAUUCCAGGUGUAGCGGUGAAAUGCGUAGAUAUCUGGAGGAAUACCGGUGGCGAAGGCGGCAUCCUGGACCGACAUUGACGCUGAGUGAGCGAAAGCUAGGGGAGCAAACGGGAUUAGAUACCCCGGUAGUCCUAGCCCUAAACGAUGAAUGCUUGGUGUGGCGGGUAUCGAUCCCUGCCGUGCCGAAGCUAACGCAUUAAGCAUUCCGCCUGGGGAGUACGGUCGCAAGGCUG
Molecule: ribosomal RNA, 372 nt
Filed under: uncultured organism
Description: bacterial SSU rRNA
Rfam family: Bacterial small subunit ribosomal RNA
Source: RNAcentral